UGGAUUAACGAUGGCCGCUGAUGCCCGAUGAGUCAUGGGUUGUGAAUACAGAUCUGAGAGUCUGGGAUCUAU
This is a small nucleolar RNA of Psammomys obesus (fat sand rat), 72 nucleotides long. RefSeq annotates it as small nucleolar RNA SNORD113/SNORD114 family. Lineage: Eukaryota; Metazoa; Chordata; Mammalia; Rodentia; Muridae. The transcript has a single exon. The record is from RefSeq and is a predicted model, not a curated record.